GUUAAUAUGUUCGAGUGGUUAAGGAGAGAGACUCAAAAUCUGUUGGGCUAUGGCCUGCGUAGGUUCAAAUCCUGCUAUUGACG
This is a non-coding RNA of Cucurbita moschata (crookneck pumpkin), 83 nucleotides long. Lineage: Eukaryota; Viridiplantae; Streptophyta; Magnoliopsida; Cucurbitales; Cucurbitaceae. The record is from the annotation of a RefSeq genome assembly.